Molecule: long non-coding RNA, 1247 nt
Filed under: Homo sapiens (human)
Lineage: Eukaryota; Metazoa; Chordata; Mammalia; Primates; Hominidae
Description: non-protein coding lnc-USP9Y-11:1
Source: RNAcentral
CAUGGCGGGGUUCCUGCCUUCCUGUGUGGCAGACUGUGGCAGAUAUUCCGAGCUUGGCUAUGCAGGCAACACUGAGCCAUAGUUUACUAUUCUUUCAUGCAUUACUAUCAGAGAGUCAGCAAAGGUAGUUGACAAAGCCCAAGGGAGAAUGUUGAGGGGAGUUGAUGAGCUUGACUUUUUCAUACAGGAUGAAGCCAUUGAUAAAUCUAUGUAUGCCACAAAGUGGUCAAUAUGACAUGGAAUCACUGAAGACUGGGAUAUUAUGGAAAUGUUCAUGGAGCAAGUGGUUUUUAAAUAUCUUUGAGCAGAAUCUGAGGACCAUUAUUUUUUAAUGACAGAACUUCCACUGAAUACACUAGAAAAUACAGAAUAUUUUUUCAGAAAUUAUGUUUGAAUUAUUUAAUGUACCAGGAUUCUACAUUGCAGUUCAGGAGGUACUAGCCUUGGAAGUAUCUUGGACAUCUCAACAAGUGGGUGAAUAUAUGUUAAUGAGUAUAGUCAUUGACAAAGGAGAUGGAGUCACCCUUAUUCUCCCAGUUGUAGAAGGUUAUGUAAUUGGGAGCUGCAUCAAUCACAUCCUGAUUGUAGGUGAUACUGUGUAUUUCAUUCAACAACUGCUAAGGGAGAGGGAGGUAGGAAUCCCUCUUGAACGUCACUGGAGACCACAAAAGCCAUUAAGGAGAAAUACUGUUACAUUUGCCCUGAUAUAGUCAAGGAAUUUGCUAAGUAUGAUGUGGAUCCCUGGAAGUGGGUCAAACAGUACACAGGUAUCAAUGUGAUCAACCAGGAGAAGUUCAUAAUAGACGUUGGUUACAAAAGAUUCCUACAACCUGAAAUAUUUUUUUUACCCAGAGUUUGCCAACCCAGACUUUAUGGAAUCCAUCUUGAAUGUUGUUGAUGAAUACAAAACUGUCCUAUUGAUGUGCGUUGUCCACUGUAUAAGAAUGUUGUUCUUUCAAGGGGUUUGACCAUAUUCAGGGAUUUGAAUCUCAACUACAGAGAGAUUUGAAGAGUGGUACAUGCCAGAUUAAAACUCAGUAAGGAGCUCAGUGGCAGGAGAAUCAAACCUAAGCUUACAGAGGUUCGGGUGGUAAUCCAUCACAUGCAGCACUAUGCCUUAUGGUUUGGAAGCUUAAUGCUAGCCUCAACUCUGGAGUUAUUUCAGGUCUGUCACACCAAGAAGGACUAUAAAGAAUAUGGCCCCAGCAUCUGCCACCAGAGCCUUCUCUUUGGAGUAAUGUCUUAGU